Molecule: long non-coding RNA, 1669 nt
Filed under: Citrus x clementina
Lineage: Eukaryota; Viridiplantae; Streptophyta; Magnoliopsida; Sapindales; Rutaceae
Description: Citrus clementina (C. clementina) long non-coding RNA (CCLE_LNC005904)
Source: RNAcentral
UUUUAGUGUUAUAUGAAUAAUUAUCACAGCCCUCGAUUGAACUAAAUAAAUAACCAAACUUUGAUGUCCAAAUAUGAUUUAAGUCAAAAUCUUAAAUUGAGAAAUAACCCAGUAUUUUAUUUUAUUUUAUUAUUUACUUUGAGAACGAACUUGCAUAAGAUUGGACUUCCUGUAUCAGCGUACGUCCUCAAACCUGCUUUUAACUACUAAUAAAUAUUGGGCUUCUUUCAAGCCAAACUGGACCCAUAAAAAGGCCCACCCCCCCCCCCCCCCAAAAAAGAAAAAUGAGGUAAUUAACAUCCUGGUCCACAGCUUAUGGAAAAAUCAUAGUUUUCCAUAAGAAUAUUCUCAACUUUGAUGAUGCUUUGACUCCAUUACCGAUUCACUGACAAAAUCACUCCCUAGAACCAUUGUUACAUUCCGCAAAAGUUUGAUGCAACGAUUUCUUCUUGAAUUACAUUAGAGUCUAUUCAUAUUUAGAAUUAAAAAUUUACUCAAACUUUUUAAUUAUUGGUUAUAAUACAAUCUGAAUAUCUAGGCCUAGAAUCAAAAUUUACUUUUUAAAUAUUUAAAAAAAAUCAAUCUAUAUAAUAUAUAAGGAAUGACUUAAAUUCUCGAACUCAAGAACAUGUCGAGAGUGUGCUUAAGGAGUGAAUUGUCGAGAGGGCACAACAUUCAAAUUAGUUAUUAAUAAUAUUUUAAUGACAAUCAAUUGUAGAAAGGAUGACAAUUAAUUGUAUGUAUUUUCAUAUAAACAUUUUAUUAUAUCUCAAAUUUAAAGCGGGACGAGACCAAGAUAUAAAACAAUUCUACUAUAUUUUGCCAGAUGGUAGGGAGACAAAUGCAAAGUCUCAUCCAAUUAUAUUAAAGUUUCAAUUUCACCUAUUUACAGUUUCAAAAUUCAAAAUGACACCUAAGCAAUCACAGUUUCACUUAUUUUGGAGCAUAAAUCUUAAUUACUAAUAUGCUAAAACUCAUUCACGAGUCGGUUGAUUUGGAAAAACAAAACGAGAUGGGACAAUUAGCAGGACAAGAGGGGGAUGCUUUUUCCAUUUCAAAGAAAAAAUCAAGAUUAAUAUGAACUAUCAUCUUAUCCCAAUUAAGUAAAUGGAAUUUCAAAAUAAAAGUUACCAUAUUCUUUUAAAAACCAAGAAUGAACAUAAAGUGGGAUCCACCUAUGUUGCAACAGUUGCAACAUACCACACUUUUUGUCUCUAUUCUAAAAUAUCGUUGGAUGUAAACUAAAUGAAUCUAACGGUUGAAAUUAAAAAGUAGGUAAAGGUCAGUGGCCGGUUGUUGAAAGAAAUUAUAAAAAAAUUGUUAAAUAAAAAUAUGUUGAACAAGGGUCCAGGAAUAAUACUGGUUUUGACUUUGUUUUGAGAGUCCGUCGUCGAAAAUUUUUUCACACCCCAGAAUUUUAGAUCAUCAAAAUAUUUUCAACGCCCAGAAAUUGCGAUCAAUUUCCCGUAGAAAUAGAUAUCGUCAAGUUUCAAUUUUAAGUGUCUCCCAUAAAGUCAAAAAUUCCAGUCGGUAAAAUCCAAGGCGGAUACAUGACUCUGGCAACCAACUGGAAAAGAUGUUGGGUGGUGGUGCAAGUUUAGGAUACAUGACUUCCAUAUACCUCUUCUUCUAACAAAUUAAACAAUGAUUCCCUGUGAUAACAUUAUCA